GCUUCAUAGCUCAUUUGGUUAGAGUACUGCACCAGCAUCGCAAAGGUCAUGGGUGCGAAUGCUAUUGAAAACA
RNAcentral lists this transfer RNA (73 nucleotides) under Acropora cervicornis. RNAcentral describes it as "tRNA-Ala". The record is from RNAcentral. Lineage: Eukaryota; Metazoa; Cnidaria; Anthozoa; Scleractinia; Acroporidae.